CCUACGGGUGGCAGCAGUGAGGAAUAUUGGUCAAUGGGCGUACGCCUGAACCAGCCAAGUCGCGUGAGGGAAGACUGCCCUAUGGGUUGUAAACCUCUUUUGCCAGGGAGCAACGUCGGCUACGUGUACCCGCCCUGAUAGUCCCUGCAGACAAAGCAUCGGCUAACUCCGUCCCAGCAGCCGCGGUAAUACGGAGGAUGCGAGCGUUCUCCGGAUUUAUUGGGUUUAAGGGGUGCGUAGGCGGAAUGUCAAGUCAGCGGUAAAAUCGCGGGGCUCACCCGCGAUCGGCCGUUGAAACUGGCGAUCUGGAGUGGGCGAGAAGUAUGCGGAAUGCGUGGUGUAGCGGUGAAAUGCAUAGAUAUCACGCAGAACUCCGAUGGCGAAGGCAGCAUGCCGGCUCAAAACUGACGCUGAGGCGCGAAAGCGUGGGUAUCGAACAGGAUUAGAUACCCUAGUAGUC
This 460-nucleotide ribosomal RNA is filed under the name uncultured bacterium. Its description in RNAcentral is "partial 16S ribosomal RNA". It matches the Rfam family "Bacterial small subunit ribosomal RNA", at positions 338 to 795 of the family's 1533-position model. The record is from RNAcentral.